Molecule: ribosomal RNA, 532 nt
Filed under: Bifidobacterium breve
Lineage: Bacteria; Bacillati; Actinomycetota; Actinomycetes; Bifidobacteriales; Bifidobacteriaceae
Description: bacterial SSU rRNA
Rfam family: Bacterial small subunit ribosomal RNA
Source: RNAcentral
CGGGUGGUAAUGCCGGAUGCUCCAGUUGAUCGCAUGGUCUUCUGGGAAAGCCUUUGCGGCAUGGGAUGGGGUCGCGUCCUAUCAGCUUGAUGGCGGGGUAACGGCCCACCAUGGCUUCGACGGGUAGCCGGCCUGAGAGGGCGACCGGCCACAUUGGGACUGAGAUACGGCCCAGACUCCUACGGGAGGCAGCAGUGGGGAAUAUUGCACAAUGGGCGCAAGCCUGAUGCAGCGACGCCGCGUGAGGGAUGGAGGCCUUCGGGUUGUAAACCUCUUUUGUUAGGGAGCAAGGCAUUUUGUGUUGAGUGUACCUUUCGAAUAAGCACCGGCUAACUACGUGCCAGCAGCCGCGGUAAUACGUAGGGUGCAAGCGUUAUCCGGAAUUAUUGGGCGUAAAGGGCUCGUAGGCGGUUCGUCGCGUCCGGUGUGAAAGUCCAUCGCUUAACGGUGGAUCCGCGCCGGGUACGGGCGGGCUUGAGUGCGGUAGGGGAGACUGGAAUUCCCGGUGUAACGGUGGAAUGUGUAGAUAUCG